This is a long non-coding RNA of Dermochelys coriacea (leatherback sea turtle), 1984 nucleotides long. RefSeq lists it as uncharacterized. Lineage: Eukaryota; Metazoa; Chordata; Testudines; Dermochelyidae. The record is from RefSeq and is a predicted model, not a curated record. The transcript has 3 exons.
AGGGUGGAGUGAGGAAGGAGAGAAGACUGGAGGUGUGUUGCUGACAAGUGAAAGACCAGAGAAAGGGAGAUUCUGCCCCAGUGUCAAGGAUGGAGGGUAUCCCUACCCAAGGGGGCAGAAGGAAAUGAUCUCCAUGCAGGACAGAACUGAAGAACUGACUCUGAGACAGGAUUCCACGAUAUACCACCUCCACCAGCACUCAAAUCCCAUGUCUGGGAAACCUGCGGCAACAGCUUUCUCCUUGGCCCGUGCUGCUUCCCGCUGCCCCCAUUGGCCUGGGACCGUGAACCGCGGCCAGUGGGACCUGCGAUUGGCCGAACCUGUGGACGCUGCAGGUAAACAAACCAACCCAGACUGCCAGUGGAUUUCCCUGAUGGGCCGCGGGCCAAAGGUUGCCGAUCCCUGGUUUAUGAUAUAAAGUAAAUACAUUUCUAAACAAAAAAUCAUUUUGAAAUGAAAAAUCAAAGUGUUCUGUUCUGAUACGGUUGAAAUAGAACUAUUCCGAUAUUUGAUUUUGCAACAAAAUUGGAUCAAAAUUGACAUGUUCCCAUGGAAAAUUUCAGUCUUGAUUAAAAGGCAUUAAAAGUUCCAUCAGAAAAUUUUCAUCCAGCUCUACUUGUGAAAUAAAUCAGCAAAUAAAACACGAAAGGGAUAGUAAAAAAUAACCCAGAUAGCUGAUACAGUACAAAUGUCAGCUUCCAACCAGCCCGAUGAUUAUCAUCGCUAAGAGCAAAUAGCAACAAAAUAUAAACAGAUGAUAAAAUUCAUUUGUAGUCAGAUUUUAUGUUAGCAUUCCAUUGGUGAGGGUAUAAUAAUUCCAUGGCUAAUUUAAAUAGCUUUUCUUACUGAUAAGUCUCUAUUGAUCCUUACAUUGUCACAGAUCACUGAAAGACAAAUAAGAAGCAAGUGGCAUAAUUUUCAAAAUUUGACACUUGGAAGUGAGUACAUAUCUUUGUGCAUGCCUUAAAAGAAUUUUUCUUGCCACAUGCUCAGACUGGGAAUUUCCCUUUCUGCAAUAAUCAGGCUCAAUAUAGUCACUAAAAAAAUAGUAUUUGGAAUAUGUUUGAAUGCCUGCUAAUGACUUGGGGAAAACAUUCUCUUAAGAGUUCAUACUGUGCAGGGUCCUACUUUUGUGUUUCCUUGACUUUUUCUUUUUUUUGCAUGCUGUGUAUUAUUAAGAGUUCAGGUGUUCAUGUGACUUAUUCUUAACUUGAAGCUAUAAAUCUCUGUUUAUAAGUCACAACCUGUUGCUAUGGAGAUGAUUAUGAUGUCACAAACAGAAACCUAUGACUUCAUGAAGGGAAUAAGUGAUAGAAACAGAUAAACUCAUAUGACCCAAUGCUGUAAGCACAUCUUUCAUUGAGGAGUCUGUUGCCACAAUUUGAGAGUUUUGGCUUAAGUUGCUAGCCCUCAUGAUUGCAAAGAAAACUAUAUGCAAUGUGAUGAGAGGCUUUUAAUGAUGAUACUUACCUCCUUUGUAAAGUGCUGUGAGAUCUAUGGAUGAAAAAGCGCUGUAUAAGAGCUAUGUAUUAUUAAUUAUUAUUAUGUUGUUGUUGCUGUGUUAUUUAGAAACUUAACUAGCAUUUGCACAUGAAGUUGUGAUAACUGUACACUCUUCUCCAUGUGUUUUACAUAUGGAAGUAGGACCUCAUUGUUGUCUUUUACAAACAUGGCCCUAACUUUCGAGGCUGCUAACCAUUUCACUGCUGUUCCCAUGAGCAGAACAUCUGCCUACAUGUGUUAUAGGCAAUCUCAGCAUUGUUUCUGGUCCUCUCUAACCCUGUCAUGAAUGCUAAGCAAGCAUUAAUCCACGGAUCUAAUCCAAAGCCUAUAGGUCACAAUGGGAGUCAUCCCAGUGACUGGUAUGGGCUUUGGGUCAGGUUUGGCAUGUUCUUUACACACUUAAUAUAAUGGCAAUGAAAAUUGAUUCUGAAUACCUAGUAAUAAUGGCUAAAAAUAAACUUGGCUGUGUGCAUUCAGAAUU